UCGUUCAGCCGUACCUGUCCAUGCUAUUCCCUAAUUGGUCCACGUGUCCCUCGACUCUUCAAAAAAUUUUGCCUCUUUUUAUUUUCCCAAAUUACGGUAGCAUUCAAGAAGGAAAACAAAACUGACAAAAAGAGAAAAAAAAACCCAAAACUGACGACCAAACUGAACUGAAAAAAGACCGUCUUCUGUUUUUUUUUUACCCUUUAGUUUCAUUUUCGGUAAUAAUUUUGGUUUUUUUUAAAGAAAACAUUUUCUCUUUUUUCUUUAAAAACCCUAAUGAGUUCAUUUCAUUUGGCCCUGAUUUAUCUGUUUUUUGUUCACUUCCUCCGCUCAACUCAAAGGUAUUAUGGCGUCUCAUUCAAUUCAUUUCCAUUAUGGUGACUGAAUGUCAGACGUGUGGUGACAGGGGCUUCUCCGUGGCAUUGAUUUACUGUGAUAAGUAUCAGGCUUAUGCUGUACAUCGGUAUAUGACAACAUAGCCAUUGUCUGAUAAAUAACAUACUUGUUUUAGGAUCACCAAAUGGACUUUAAAUCUUUUAUUUAUUUAUCUUGUUAGUGUUGACGGCAGAGAUUUACUAUUUAGAAUUGUUGUAAAGAUGGAUGAGUUGAAAAUAUUGUAGUCACAUCACAAUGGAAACUCAUUGCCAAAACCUUAAGUUAGAUUCAUAUUGCACCAUUUAUCAAUUUGUUAAUUUGCUUCAGUAAGUUGAUUCCUGAUUAAGCCUUUGAUUCUUUUAUAUAUGUUUCCACUAAUUUUUGCUUUUAUGAUUAUUUUUCCUCAUCCAGUUAUUGCUUAUAUAAAUUACCAGAAACUUUUGAAGAGCAUGUUGUUUGGUUUUGUAUGGACUGUGAACCAAAGGUUGCAGAACCAUUUACUCUCCAGCAGGCUCUCCCUGUGACUGGCUUUCAAUCAAGAUUGAAGAAGGGCAAUUCUGUUAGAGAAUCAAAGGGGAAGAAUGACAUCAAAAGGAUGAAGAAGAAUAAGACAGAGCAAAUGUGACAAUGGGUCAUUGGUUAUAUCAAAGGUCCAAAGACAAAGUAGCCCCUUGCUUCCAGCAACUUUUGAGGAGCAUGUUGUUGGUUUUUCUGCAGACUGUGAACCAAAGGUUGCGAAAUCAUCUACUCUCCAGCAUGCUCUUCCUGUGACCAGCUUUCAAUCAAGAUCAUUGGGAGUGGUUGGGCCAAGCUCUAACCAGACAUAUUGAACCUCAAAUUCCUCCUUCACACACUUGUACACAUUCCAGAGGAUCAGAUUGGAUUAACAUUGAUAAGGGAGCUGAAUCUGUCUAUAAUAGAACACCUCUUGUAGCCAUCAAUGAGCAUUUAAACAUCAUAGAGCAUUACUUUUUGGACCCUGGGUGGAGGGAACUGGAUGGGGUAUAUUCUGAUGAAGCGGAUGAAUGUGUUAAUACUAAAACAACUCUUGUGGCUAUCAGCAACCAAAUCCCAAAACACAGUUAUAUACCUGCACAGCCAAUAUUUGAACCAGUACGGAGGGGAAGUUUCCAUCUCUAUGAAGAAAAUCUUACUGUUGGAGUUAUAGCCCAUUUUUCUAGUGUAGCAUGCUUGAAAGUUUGUGAGACAGCAAAAUGCUUACCUCAAUUGCUUUGCCUAAAAUUGCUUCCAAUAUGUGAUGUGUGGCCGAAAGGCUUUAAGAAAUGGGGGCCAAGUGAAAAAAGGAGACUAAGAUUUUUGACAGUCUAGCAGAUAAGAUGAUUGGCUGAAUUCUUGGCAUGAGAGCUGUGGUUCAAGUGUAGAACUGUUAGUUUACACUUCUAACAUUUUGCCACUGCACUUUUGGAGUGAGUCUAGAUAUACAUUGCUUCAUGUUUUGUUUAAUGAACAUAAGUUGGAUAUGCGGAUGCCAAUUGGCACGGAGUUAGAUUAAUUGGAUUUGGGUUAAUGAUAAGUAUUUAAUCAUUUAAUUCAUUUGCAAGGUUCCAGGAGAAGAUCUAUUUACGGGGAGUGUUUAGGUCAAAGCAAGCUUCACAUUUAACAAAUGUAGGUCGUGGAGAGGAGAAAAACCUCGUGAGGGCUUUAACCUGGGGAUCUAGGCGGUGAAUGAAUAGAUGUAGGUUCGAAUGAAUGGGGGGAUCUUAACAUGCAUAAAAGCUAAAGGUGAGUAACCAUCUUUUUCAAUUUUAAGUAUGAAAAUACGUAAUCACUCUAUUUCUUAUAUCACACCUCACUUUUCUGUACGUUAAAAAAUUUUAUUUUUCUUAUUUAUAUAAGUCAGUUUAUUGCCACACAUGUAAUUUCUGCUGUCUAGGCUUGUACUUGUGGUUAAUAAAUUGGAAGAAAAAGAAUAGAGAGUUUUUU
This is a non-coding RNA of Durio zibethinus, 2319 nucleotides long. Lineage: Eukaryota; Viridiplantae; Streptophyta; Magnoliopsida; Malvales; Malvaceae. The record is from RefSeq and is a predicted model, not a curated record.